Molecule: ribosomal RNA, 424 nt
Filed under: Verrucomicrobiota bacterium
Lineage: Bacteria; Pseudomonadati; Verrucomicrobiota
Description: Verrucomicrobia bacterium partial 16S ribosomal RNA
Rfam family: Bacterial small subunit ribosomal RNA
Source: RNAcentral
UGAGGAAUAUUGGUCAAUGGGCGAGAGCCUGAACCAGCCAAGUAGCGUGCAGGAUGACGGCCCUAUGGGUUGUAAACUGCUUUUAUGUGGGGAUAAAGUGCGUGACGUGUCAUGCAUUGCAGGUACCACAUGAAUAAGGACCGGCUAAUUCCGUGCCAGCAGCCGCGGUAAUACGGAAGGUCCGGGCGUUAUCCGGAUUUAUUGGGUUUAAAGGGAGCGUAGGCUGUUUGUUAAGCGUGUUGUGAAAUGUAAGAGCUCAACUUUUAGAUUGCAGCGCGAACUGGCAGACUUGAGUGUGCACAACGUAGGCGGAAUUCAUGGUGUAGCGGUGAAAUGCUUAGAUAUCAUGACGAACUCCGAUUGCGAAGGCAGCUUACGGGAGCGCAACUGACGCUAAAGCUCGAAGGUGCGGGUAUCGAACAGG